This 711-nucleotide long non-coding RNA is filed under the name Dermacentor andersoni. Its description in RNAcentral is "uncharacterized LOC126531155". The record is from RNAcentral. Lineage: Eukaryota; Metazoa; Arthropoda; Arachnida; Ixodida; Ixodidae.
GUAAUUCUGGUACGGCUUAGCAGAGGUUAGCCCCAUAUGCUUCGCACUUCGUUAGCGAAGUUCGGUUUCGGCAUUUCGUGCGCGCGUUGUGCGGAAUAGAUAAAAUGUGUGUGGGCGUGGGCGUGCGCGCUUUGUUGAAAAAAUUGUGGCGUACGUCACGUGGCCGCGAAUGCGUGUUUGCCGCAGUUUCCAAACAGCGCUGCUGCAGUUAGAAACAAGCGAAGCUUCUCAAAGCAUGAGUGUUGCGGAGUUCCGACUUCUUCGUGUCUUGUCUGUGCCAUUAGAAACCUUUGGAGUGAUAGGACUCGCCUACUCCUUCACGUUUUCGAGCACUGCGGCAAUGGCGAGUGCAACGGUAGGACGACUAGACAUCCCAAAGUCAGCGGUGGGCAGUGGCUUCGUUUGUCCGUCAAACAAUCCUGGUGAUCGCAUGGACGUGAGAUGGCCUCGAGCGGCGCUUCCAAGUUUCUAUGGCGGCACGUUCCAGGUUCUCGACCGAUUCCAAGUUGGUUUUGUAGCCGCGCUUGUACCUGGGAAAAAAAGAUUCCGCACUUGUGCAAGCGCUGUUUUCUGACACGUGAAUCGGUGCGGCAUUCCACAAGACUAGGAAGAUCGUGUCUCGACAGGCUCCUUUUCCUCUGGUCUUCUUCGCUGCAGUGGGCAUGGCGAGCGGUUCCAAGAAAAUAAACUUGACUGGCAGUUUAUAUAUAA